CGCGUCAACUACCUCGCCCUCCUCGCCGCCGCCCUCGCCCUGUCCCUCCUCACCAACCCUGCCGCCCUCGUCGCCCUCCUCAUCCUCCUCGCCGCCUGGUGUUUCCUCUACCUCCUCCGUCCGGUGGAUCAGCCCCUCACCAUCCGCGGCCGCACCUUCUCGGACCGAGAGACCCUUGGUGGGCUCGUCGUCCUCACCGUCUUCAUCGUCUUCCUCACAUCCGUCGGAUCUGUCCUCAUCUCCGCCAUCCUGGCCGGCGCGGCGGUCGUCUGCGCUCACGGCGCUCUCCGUGUGCCGGAGGAUCUGUUUCUGGACGAUCAGGAGCCGGGAGGGGCGGCCAGCGGGUUAUUGUCGUUCUUCGGUGGAGCGGUGCCUGCGGCGCCGGUGGUUGCG
RNAcentral lists this unclassified non-coding RNA (393 nucleotides) under Hevea brasiliensis (rubber tree). Lineage: Eukaryota; Viridiplantae; Streptophyta; Magnoliopsida; Malpighiales; Euphorbiaceae. The record is from RNAcentral.